CCGUGAUAACGUAGCAUAAUCAUUCGCCACCUAAUUAGUGGAUAGUAUGAACGGUAAAACGAGUAUAACACUCUCUCAGAAGGAAGUUUUAUGAAAUUGGAGUGGUAGUCAAGAUACUACCUAAAACUGUAAGACGAAAAGACCCUAUAGAGCUUAACUAUACCUUUCUCACAAAAUUAAGUUCACUUAAGUUCCAGAAAGAUUGGUAGUUUAGUUGGGGCGACUGCUUUCUAGUAAAAACGAAAGCAAGCAAUAUUAAUUAUCUAAUUUACUGUCUAAUCCAUAUGUUUAACAGUUAUAAAAAUAGGCAAUAAUGACCCGUUAGUAAUAAAAAACACUACUAACGAACAAUAAAUAAAAGCUACCUUAGGGAUAACAGGAUAAUCUUGUUCUAGAGACCCUAUCGAAAACAAGGUUUGUCACCUCUAUGUUGAAUUAAGAUAUCCUAGAAGUGUAGAAGCUUCUGAGG
This 469-nucleotide ribosomal RNA is filed under the name Millepora alcicornis. RNAcentral's name for it is "partial large subunit ribosomal RNA". It matches the Rfam family "Bacterial large subunit ribosomal RNA", at positions 1946 to 2570 of the family's 2925-position model. The record is from RNAcentral. Lineage: Eukaryota; Metazoa; Cnidaria; Hydrozoa; Anthoathecata; Milleporidae.